Solenopsis invicta (red fire ant) is the source of this 1114-nucleotide long non-coding RNA. RefSeq lists it as uncharacterized. Lineage: Eukaryota; Metazoa; Arthropoda; Insecta; Hymenoptera; Formicidae. The transcript is spliced from 2 exons. The record is from RefSeq and is a predicted model, not a curated record.
AUGAUUAUCGUCGUCGUACUUUUGAACGUACGGCACCGGUAUCGAACCAGUUUGGCCGACACUAUUUCUAGCUGUCCACCACUGUUCCUCAUCUUUCGAUAUUACGGACAAAAACGUAAAAAGAGAGAAGAAAAGACACGCUUGAAAACGCUAGGAUCUUAAUCAACUUUAACUAGCGCUUAAUGUGAGAAGAUUUUACAUUAACACAAGUGUUUACAAGAUCGAGCCGACAAACACCCAACGAAAAAUUGAGGAAUAUGUUUCACGACGGGAUUGACACUUCGAAACGAGCUACGACUCGCAGUGCACGGACCAAAGACAAUUUAUCCAGUGCUCCGGGAUCCAAUACACGUCGGUGACGAUAAUGAUCGCCCCGUUUUUGCGCGACGCGUUACAUCGCGUGAAUUGCACGGCCGCAAUUUCAAACGCCAUUACGCCAAUAAUACUGAAUGCGGGCACGACACACUUGCGGACGCCCGCGCUGAUGAAUCAAAACAUGGGAAUUCUCCCGCACGCACCUCGACUUGUCAUACUGAUCGAAGGUCGCAGCCAUUGUCGUGCCGAUCGGGGGGUGGGAGGGUCCAGGAGCGAGGCGACAGCUUCUUCCCUCGUCAAUUGUCAAUUAAUAUAUAUCACAGGGCACAUCCGACGGGGAGGGAAAGAGAGAGAGAGGGACUCGAUCGAGCUCCCGCAUAGUAAGAGGGGCCGCGAAACGCUCGCGCGAGCCACCGCCGCGCGGACGGAUCUGUCCCCCCUGAGGUCUGUGUCACGCGGAUCUCCGUCGGCCGAUGACCGGGAUACGCGACGCGACGUCCGUAUUUUUCCAAGCGGAAAACACCCUCAGGAAACACGGGCUACUCUUCACUUUCUCGACCCGAAGAACUAUCACUCCGCCGUCGGAUGUUGUUCCUCGCACGAUGCGGUUUUGUGAGAGCGGACCGUCGUCGACAUCUCCGAGACCGCGUGGGCGUUCUUCGCGGGUGUUUCAAUCGAACGAGCGGAGCUUCGGUUCUCUCUGCUUAGGUCCUCGUCACGGAACCGCCACGUGCUGCACGUCGGCACGUUCACUCGCCGCACGAAGCACCCGUAAAUCGAACGGCGACCCUUACAAAAA